This 330-nucleotide long non-coding RNA is filed under the name Struthio camelus australis. RNAcentral describes it as "lncRNA (ENSSCUG00000010052.1)". The record is from RNAcentral. Lineage: Eukaryota; Metazoa; Chordata; Aves; Struthioniformes; Struthionidae.
AUGUUUUUUUCAGUGUCUGUUAUCCGGCAGCUGAUUUCAGAGAUUACAAUCAUUGCAAGGAGAAGACCAAUCUGUCUCAAAAGCUGAAGGCUGGAUGUCCACACCACAGUGAAACUGCUUGCAGCAGAGAACUAAUCCACACUACUCUUGAUAUCUCCUGGAGAUAAUUGGAUAGCAGAAAGAAGGUGCACAGGGAAAUACUAUGUCCCAGCUCUACGUCGCCAAAGGUAUUUCUAUCCUCCCUACUUCUUUCCUUCUCUUCCCUCCUUUUCCUUGCACCCACUGCUGAAAGAAGUACCCACUGUUUAUGGAACAGCAUCCUGAUUUUCU